UAGGGAAUCUUCGGCAAUGGACGGAAGUCUGACCGAGCAACGCCGCGUGAGUGAAGAAGGUUUUCGGAUCGUAAAGCUCUGUUGUAAGAGAAGAACGAGUGUGAGAGUGGAAAGUUCACACUGUGACGGUAUCUUACCAGAAAGGGACGGCUAACUACGUGCCAGCAGCCGCGGUAAUACGUAGGUCCCGAGCGUUGUCCGGAUUUAUUGGGCGUAAAGCGAGCGCAGGCGGUUAGAUAAGUCUGAAGUUAAAGGCUGUGGCUUAACCAUAGUAGGCUUUGGAAACUGUUUAACUUGAGUGCAAGAGGGGAGAGUGGAAUUCCAUGUGUAGCGGUGAAAUGCGUAGAUAUAUGGAGGAACACCGGUGGCGAAAGCGGCUCUCUGGCUUGUAACUGACGCUGAGGCUCGAAAGCGUGGGGAGCAAACAGGAUUAGAUACCCUGGUAGUCCACGCGUAAACGAGAGGCUAGGGAGACCCUUCCGGGGAGGCCGAGCAACGCAAAGCACUCCGCCGGGGAGUACGACCGCAAGGG
RNAcentral lists this ribosomal RNA (532 nucleotides) under uncultured bacterium. RNAcentral describes it as "bacterial SSU rRNA". It matches the Rfam family "Bacterial small subunit ribosomal RNA", at positions 355 to 894 of the family's 1533-position model. The record is from RNAcentral.